Molecule: long non-coding RNA, 207 nt
Filed under: Elaeis guineensis (African oil palm)
Lineage: Eukaryota; Viridiplantae; Streptophyta; Magnoliopsida; Arecales; Arecaceae
Description: long non-coding RNA (EGUI_LNC059157)
Source: RNAcentral
AUUGCUAAUCGAUCCUUCUGCAAUACUUGCACUAGGUUAAAUGUCAAUCGUAUUGAUCAUUUAACCCUAGAAUGAUUCUUAAUCGUUGAUCAACCAUCUGAUCGGAUUGUGAAUUCUAGUGUGUGUGAUCUCAUAGGUUCGAACCUAAGUCGGUAGUACAGAAAUAAAUUUCUGUCCAAUCAAAGUGACUAUGUAGCAAUGGUACCC